AUGAACUGGAUGUGGCAUGGACUUGCCUAAUGGACUUGAUGCUUCUCGCAGGAAACAAAAGGGAAAGGGUGUUUACCAGUUUGUGGACAAAUAUGGUGCUAAUGUUGAUGGAUACAGGUACGACCGGUUUGGCUAUCUGGGCUGUAACUCUAGCUGGUCUUCUAGCUGGUGGUGCACUUCUUGUCUACAACACAAGUGCUCUUUCACAAUAGAUUCUGCUAAGUUCAUAUUUUAAGUUGUAACAAUAUUCCAUAUAGCUUUGAAAAUGAAGGAUAUACUCAUCAAUUACUUGUGGACAUAGUUCCUUCUGUUCUAUAAAUGUUGUGUGGAUUUUAAGAAA
This is a long non-coding RNA of Trifolium pratense (red clover), 340 nucleotides long. RefSeq lists it as uncharacterized. NCBI's taxonomy places the organism in Eukaryota, Viridiplantae, Streptophyta, Magnoliopsida, Fabales, Fabaceae. The transcript has 3 exons. The record is from RefSeq and is a predicted model, not a curated record.